Molecule: small nuclear RNA, 19 nt
Filed under: Arabidopsis thaliana (thale cress)
Lineage: Eukaryota; Viridiplantae; Streptophyta; Magnoliopsida; Brassicales; Brassicaceae
Description: snRNA_02961
Source: RNAcentral
AAGCGUGGCCUAUCGAUCC